CUACGAAGGGGGCUAGCGUUGUUCGGAAUCACUGGGCGUAAAGCGCGCGUAGGUGGAUCAAUUAGUUGAGGGUGAAAUCCCGGGGCUCAACCUCGGAACUGCCUUCAAUACUGUUGAUCUUGAGACCGAGAGAGGUGAGUGGAAUUCCUAGUGUAGAGGUGAAAUUCGUAGAUAUUAGGAAGAACACCAGUGGCGAAGGCGGCUCACUGGCUCGGUACUGACGCUGAGGUGCGAAAGCGUGGGGAGCAAACAGGAUUAGAUACCCUUGUAGUCC
This 274-nucleotide ribosomal RNA is filed under the name uncultured bacterium. RNAcentral describes it as "partial 16S ribosomal RNA". It matches the Rfam family "Bacterial small subunit ribosomal RNA", at positions 523 to 796 of the family's 1533-position model. The record is from RNAcentral.